AUGGAUUUCUCAGGCGCCGUGCAAUGGUGGGAUGAGUGGCAACUGCGUGUACUGGUGCUGGGCAGCCUCUUCGUCCAGUGCAUGCUCUUCUUCUCCUCCUAUGUGCGUAGGCGUGCCCUCUCAUCUCUGCCCAAGCUCUUCAUCUGGCUCGCCUACCUAGGCGGGGAUGCUCUGGCGAUAUACGCCCUGGCCACCCUCUUCAACCGCCACAGGCAGAAGGAGCAGCUCGCCGCCGGCCUGGAGGUGCUAUGGGCGCCUGUCCUCCUCAUCCACCUCGGAGGCCAUCACAUGAUGACCGCCUAUAGCAUCGAAGACAACGAGCUGUGGACGCGGCACGGCAUCACCGCGGUGUCCCAGGUCGUGGUCGCCAUCUACGUCUUCUGCAAGUCCUGGUCUGGCUCUGGCGGCGAAAAGAGGUUACUGCAGUCCGGGAUCUUACUGUUCGUCGUCGGGAUAAUCAGAUCCAUCCAGAAGCCAUUAGCUCUGAAGACUGCCAGUAUCAAUACCAUGAUCGCCACUUACUCUACGUCCACGAGAAAGAAACAGAGCAUCUCAUUGUGUUGGAAAGCAAUGUGCGGUUGCUCAUGGGAUUGGUACUUUACUAGAAGCAAAACUAGAGAAGAAACCCAAGAGAAGGACAUCCCGCUUGAAGAAUUCGUGCAAGAAGCAAUCAAGAAUCUGCCAGAGCUGGCCACUGAUCAAAAGCAAGCUGAAAACCUCGCAUGGGAUCAGUCAUUGAAGGUAAAUGCCUACAGGUCACUAGUAGACAUAUCAGCUCCAUACUCUAGUCGGAUCAAAAGCCUAAAACUUUCAAUGGCCCUUGAUUACCAACAUGCAAAUAGUUUGUCGGCAGCCAUGCUUAAUGAGAUGUUUUUCCUCCUCUACACAAAACUACCUACCAUAUUCAGUAGCUAUAUCUGCUUUUCGCUUGUUUGCCUUCCGUUCCUAACCUUAGCUUCUGUUAUCCUCUUCUCCACAAACCACAUAUAUCAUGACUACAACACAACAGAUGUCAAGGUAACCUACAUCUUGUUUUGGUGUACUGCACUGUUGGAUUUCAUAUCGGUCUUCCUCGGUCCUUCCAUCGUGCUCAUAGGAUCAACAAAAAAGGUUCCCCAAUAUAACCUCUUGUCGUUCUGUGCUCGUAAGAAGCGGCCCACUGUUUUGAUGAAGCUUGCCACACUUGUCUUCUGCAAAGACUAUGUCAAUGUGCAUUGCUAUAUAGAGCACGCAGCAAAACCAUCCUUACUCCAAGUUACAGAGUUGGUUCAUGGAUAUGUCAGGGAUGGUUGGAAAGGAUAUAUCCAUGACGAUGCCAGCUAUAGGAGAUUCAAUAGCCGGAGAGGCCAGUGGGCUCUAAGGCAUCAGCAUCAUCUCGGGUGGAGCUUGAAGAUGCCGUUUGAUAGAAGCAUCCUUCUCUGGCACAUCGCCACAGACCUCUGCUUUCACCACCAAGGCACAACCGCUCACGGCCAAGAGUGCGCCACUAGAAGCAGAGUGAUAUCCAACUACAUGGCUUACCUGCUCUCCCUCCAUCCAGAGAUGCUUAUGCCCGGGUCGAGGAUCGGUACCUUCACCGUCGCCUGUGAAGAUGUCCUGUUAGUGCUAGGCGGCAAGUAUGCGCUGGACACUGAAAGAGGACUUGCGCAUGGUAUUCUUUUCUGGGUGCAACAAUUUUCCUUGUUAGACGACGCCAGGGCAAUGGCAUCUCUGGUUCCCAAGGCAUGCAAGCUUGCUAAAGGGUUGAUGGAUCUGCGGGAAGUGGAGAGGUGGGAGGUGGUCCAGGCGGUAUGGGUGGAGAUGCUAUGCUACUCUGCUGGUAGGUGCAGGGGGUACUUGCACGCCAAGAACAUGAGUGAAGUUAUGGAACUACUCACUCAUGUUUGGUUCCUCUUGUCAUUCAUGGGGAUGGAGACGUUCGCUGAUAGGUUUCAGAAACCGGAACCUUCCGAAAACAUGGAAGAAGAAGAAGAAGAAGAAGAAGAAGAAGAUGGUGAAAGUAGAGUCCCGGAGAACAAGAUUAAUAUCUUUGUCUAA
RNAcentral lists this ribosomal RNA (2037 nucleotides) under Triticum aestivum (bread wheat). Its description in RNAcentral is "partial small subunit ribosomal RNA". The record is from RNAcentral. Lineage: Eukaryota; Viridiplantae; Streptophyta; Magnoliopsida; Poales; Poaceae.